Molecule: long non-coding RNA, 211 nt
Organism: Schistocerca americana (American grasshopper)
Lineage: Eukaryota; Metazoa; Arthropoda; Insecta; Orthoptera; Acrididae
Exons: 3
Source: RefSeq, a predicted model, not a curated record
GUUCGUGUAAACAAAACGCGCUUUUGUUUCGUUUGAAAGAAAUUAAUUCUCAAAAAUAAGACAGGCUAGGCUUGUGUCGUUUUCAACAAAAUCACCCUUUCUGCUCAGUACUAGGGCGCUGCGUUCGUGGUGCUGUUUUGUUUGGCCGCUGGAAGAGGAGAACGCUACGGAAGGAGACGUCGUGAGGGAGAUCAUCAAGGUGUUCGAAGGU